This 580-nucleotide ribosomal RNA is filed under the name uncultured bacterium. RNAcentral's name for it is "bacterial SSU rRNA". It matches the Rfam family "Bacterial small subunit ribosomal RNA", at positions 102 to 669 of the family's 1533-position model. The record is from RNAcentral.
ACGGGUGAGUAACACGUAGGCAACCUGCCCUCAAGUUUGGGACAACUACCGGAAACGGUAGCUAAUACCGAAUAAUUGUUUUCUUCGCCUGAAGGAAACUGGAAAGACGGAGUAAUCUGUCACUUGGGGAUGGGCCUGCGGCGCAUUAGCUAGUUGGUGGGGUAAUGGCUCACCAAGGCGACGAUGCGUAGCCGACCUGAGAGGGUGAUCGGCCACACUGGGACUGAGACACGGCCCAGACUCCUACGGGAGGCAGCAGUAGGGAAUCUUCCGCAAUGGGCGAAAGCCUGACGGAGCAAUGCCGCGUGAGUGAUGAAGGUUUUCGGAUCGUAAAGCUCUGUUGCCAGGGAAGAACGCUUGGGAGAGUAACUGCUCUCAAGGUGACGGUACUUGAGAAGAAAGCCCCGGCUAACUACGUGCCAGCAGCCGCGGUAAUACGUAGGGGGCAAGCGUUGUCCGGAAUUAUUGGGCGUAAAGCGCGCGCAGGCGGUCAUUUAAGUCUGGUGUUUAAUCCCGGGGCUCAACCCCGGAUCGCACUGGAAACUGGGUGACUUGAGUGCAGAAGAGGAGAGUGGAAUUC